GCCCUUUGCGUGAUAGCACCUUUGUAAACAGUGACAGUUUCGUUUUCCAGUUGGACCCUAGGCCAAACACGAUGACGGUUUGUUUAUGUUGUUCUUUUGUUUUGGCCUGGCAGGCCAAACCAAAACAGAGUCUGCUUUCGUGUUAGGGCCUUUUCAAUCAAACUUUUGUUUUAAUUUUGAAAGGGGUUUUUUUAUUUUAUUUUCGCGGCCAAUUCGAUAGAAUUCUGAGUAAUUGAGGGCAAAUCGUGAUAUUGUGAUGUGAAAAAUAGAAUUUUACAGUGGAAAAAGUUGUUUAUUCUGCAAUAAGGUUGGGAAGUUGCCGUGGCUGCCGUGUUAUGUUCCUUCUGCAUUUGUCAAGACAAAUUCCUUUAGUGUUCAUAAUCCAGAUGAUCGCUUCGGCUGGUGCUUCUAGCAUUCUCUGGAUUUUUAUAUACUUAUAAUGGACGAACUUGUGUGAAUCAAGCUGCUGAAAUUGUCGCUGAAACCAGGCCACAAUAUCGCUAGGCCGUUCGUAAAAAGCUACUGGGUCGGUGGACGGUCAUGAGCAA
Long non-coding RNA from Culex quinquefasciatus (southern house mosquito), 548 nucleotides. RefSeq lists it as uncharacterized. The transcript has 2 exons. Lineage: Eukaryota; Metazoa; Arthropoda; Insecta; Diptera; Culicidae. The record is from RefSeq and is a predicted model, not a curated record.